This is a long non-coding RNA of Saccostrea echinata, 287 nucleotides long. RefSeq lists it as uncharacterized. The record is from RefSeq and is a predicted model, not a curated record. Lineage: Eukaryota; Metazoa; Mollusca; Bivalvia; Ostreida; Ostreidae. The transcript is spliced from 3 exons.
UUUGGCUUCAACUGAAUCCAGACACGAGGAUGUAAAACAAAACAUAGACUAUACUCGAUUCAGACCAAAAAAAUCAGAGAGAAAAAUUGGGCCGCUGUGUCAGACACCGCCCUUAUGCGAGAAAAACACGCAGCCAUGGAGAAACAUUGACAAAAACUGGUCACAUGGGCAACGACCCGAUGUAGAUUACUGGCAAUUCCUAAUUAAUAAAUCUGGUUUUGGAUUCUAAUAUAUACUGCAUUCAAAGAUGUAGCAGUUAUGGAAAAUUACAGAAUGGACGAGUGCAG